CCUACGGGUGACAGCAGUGAGGAAUAUUGGUCAAUGGACGAGAGUCUGAACCAGCCAAGUAGCGUGAAGGAUGACUGCCCUAUGGGUUGUAAACUUCUUUUAUAUGGGAAUAAAACGUUCCACGUGUGGGAUUUUGUAUGUACCAUAUGAAUAAGGAUCGGCUAACUCCGUGCCAGCAGCCGCGGUAAUACGGAGGAUCCGAGCGUUAUCCGGAUUUAUUGGGUUUAAAGGGAGCGUAGGUGGAUUGUUAAGUCAGUUGUGAAAGUUUGCGGCUCAACCGUAAAAUUGCAGUUGAAACUGGCAGUCUUGAGGACAGUAGAGGUGGGCGGAAUUCGUGGUGUAGCGGUGAAAUGCUUAGAUAUCACGAAGAACUCCGAUUGCGAAGGCAGUUCACUGGACUGCAACUGACACUGAGGCUCGAAAGUGUGGGUAUCAAACAGGAUUAGAUACCCUUGUAGUC
This 460-nucleotide ribosomal RNA is filed under the name uncultured bacterium. RNAcentral describes it as "partial 16S ribosomal RNA". It matches the Rfam family "Bacterial small subunit ribosomal RNA", at positions 338 to 795 of the family's 1533-position model. The record is from RNAcentral.